RNAcentral lists this ribosomal RNA (466 nucleotides) under uncultured bacterium. RNAcentral describes it as "partial 16S ribosomal RNA". It matches the Rfam family "Bacterial small subunit ribosomal RNA", at positions 28 to 507 of the family's 1533-position model. The record is from RNAcentral.
GAUGAACGCUGGCGGCGUGCUUAACACAUGCAAGUCGAACGGAAAGGCCCAGCUUGCGGGGUGUGUUAGUGGCGAACGGGUGUGAAACACGUGAGUAACAUCCCCUUGACACUGUGGUAAGACCUGGGGACACGGUCUAAUACCGGGGAGAAGCGCCUCUGCCGUAUGGUGGGUUGGGGAGAGUUUGCGGUCAUGGAUGGACUCGCGGCCUAUCAGCUUGUUGGUGUGGUAAUGGCUCACCAAGGCGCCGACGGGUAGCCGGCCUGAGAGGGUGACCGGCCACACUGGGACUGAGACACGGCCCAGACUCCUACGGGAGACAGCAGUGGGGAAUAUUGCACAAUGGGCGGAAGCCUGAUGCAGCGACGCCGCGUGAGGGAUGACGGCCUUCGGGUUGUAAACCGCUUUCAGUAGGGAAGAAGCGAAAGUGACGGUACCUGCAGAAGAAGCACCGGCUAACUACGUG